Unclassified non-coding RNA from Ictidomys tridecemlineatus (thirteen-lined ground squirrel), 296 nucleotides. Its record names the gene 7SK. It matches the Rfam family "7SK RNA". From Rfam's summary of the family: 7SK was discovered as an abundant small nuclear RNA in the mid-70s but a possible function has only recently been suggested. Two independent studies have found that 7SK RNA binds the CDK9/cyclin T complex (known as elongation factor P-TEFb). Lineage: Eukaryota; Metazoa; Chordata; Mammalia; Rodentia; Sciuridae. The record is from Ensembl.
GGAUGUGAGGGCGAUCUGGCUGCGACAUCUGUCACCCCAUUGAUCGCCAGGGUUGACUCGGCUGAUCUGGCUGGCUAGGCGGGUGUCCCCUUCCUCCCUCACCGCUCCAUGUGCAUCCCUCCCGAAGCUGCGCGCUGGGUGGAGGAGGACAACCUUUCCCGAUAGAGGAGGACCGUUCUUCAGUCAAGGGUAUACCAGUAGCUGCGCUCCCCUGCUAGAACCUCCAAACCAGCUCUCAAGAAUAAGAACUCAAAUUACCUAACACUAUAUUUCAAAGCACUAGAAAAAGAUCAAAU